UACGUAGGGUGCAAGCGUUAAUCGGAAUUACUGGGCGUAAAGCGUGCGCAGGCGGUUCGCUAAGACAGAUGUGAAAUCCCCGGGCUUAACCUGGGAACUGCAUUUGUGACUGGCGGGCUAGAGUAUGGCAGAGGGGGGUAGAAUUCCACGCGUAGCAGUGAAAUGCGUAGUGAUGUGGAGGAAUACCGAUGGCGAAGGCAGCCCCCUGGGCCAAUACUGACGCUCAUGCACGAAAGCGUGGGGAGCGAACAGG
Molecule: ribosomal RNA, 253 nt
Filed under: uncultured bacterium
Lineage: Bacteria
Description: partial 16S ribosomal RNA
Rfam family: Bacterial small subunit ribosomal RNA
Source: RNAcentral